GAUGAACGCUGGCGGCGUGCCUAAUACAUGCAAGUCGAGCGAACAGACGAGGAGCUUGCUCCUCUGACGUUAGCGGCGGACGGGUGAGUAACACGUGGAUAACCUACCUAUAAGACUGGGAUAACUUCGGGAAACCGGAGCUAAUACCGGAUAAUAUAUUGAACCGCAUGGUUCAAUAGUGAAAGACGGUUUUGCUGUCACUUAUAGAUGGAUCCGCGCCGCAUUAGCUAGUUGGUAAGGUAACGGCUUACCAAGGCAACGAUGCGUAGCCGACCUGAGAGGGUGAUCGGCCACCCUGGAGCUGAGCCACGGUCCAGACUCCUACGGGACGCAGCAGUAGGGAAUCUUCCGCAAUGGGCGAAAGCCUGACGGAGCAACGCCGCGUGAGUGAUGAAGGUCUUCCGAUCGUAAAACUCUGUUAUUAGUGAAGAACAACUGUGUAAGUAACUAUGCACGUCUUGACGGUACCUAAUCAGAAAGCCACGGCUAACUACGUG
Molecule: ribosomal RNA, 497 nt
Filed under: uncultured bacterium
Lineage: Bacteria
Description: partial 16S ribosomal RNA
Rfam family: Bacterial small subunit ribosomal RNA
Source: RNAcentral